GUGCUUGCUUUGGCAGCACAUACACUAAAAUUGGAAUGAUAUAGAGAAGAUUACAUAGCCCUGCACAAGGGUGACGUGCAAAUUCAUGAAGCAUUCCUUUA
This 101-nucleotide small nuclear RNA is filed under the name Myotis davidii. The record is from RNAcentral. Lineage: Eukaryota; Metazoa; Chordata; Mammalia; Chiroptera; Vespertilionidae.